RNAcentral lists this ribosomal RNA (438 nucleotides) under Escherichia coli. Its description in RNAcentral is "bacterial SSU rRNA". It matches the Rfam family "Bacterial small subunit ribosomal RNA", at positions 1 to 433 of the family's 1533-position model. The record is from RNAcentral. Lineage: Bacteria; Pseudomonadati; Pseudomonadota; Gammaproteobacteria; Enterobacterales; Enterobacteriaceae.
UUAAAUUGAAGAGUUUGAUCAUGGCUCAGAUUGAACGCUGGCGGCAGGCCUAACACAUGCAAGUCGAACGGUAACAGGAAGCAGCUUGCUGCUUUGCUGACGAGUGGCGGACGGGUGAGUAAUGUCUGGGAAACUGCCUGAUGGAGGGGGAUAACUACUGGAAACGGUAGCUAAUACCGCAUAACGUCGCAAGACCAAAGAGGGGGACCUUAGGGCCUCUUGCCAUCGGAUGUGCCCAGAUGGGAUUAGCUAGUAGGUGGGGUAACGGCUCACCUAGGCGACGAUCCCUAGCUGGUCUGAGAGGAUGACCAGCCACACUGGAACUGAGACACGGUCCAGACUCCUACGGGAGGCAGCAGUGGGGAAUAUUGCACAAUGGGCGCAAGCCUGAUGCAGCCAUGCCGCGUGUAUGAAGAAGGCCUUCGGGUUGUAAAGUAC